This 119-nucleotide microRNA precursor is filed under the name Helianthus annuus (common sunflower). Lineage: Eukaryota; Viridiplantae; Streptophyta; Magnoliopsida; Asterales; Asteraceae. The record is from RNAcentral.
GUCUUGUUUGGUAGCCAAGGAUGACUUGCCUCCUCACACCUCAUGGUGUUCAGGUGUUAGAAUGUAGUGCCUUGUUUUAUUUACGAGGCAGGUUGCUCCUUGUCUUACUGACAUGAUCU